GCAUGGAUGAAUUCUGCACUAGCUUUUCUCAGUAGCUAAUGCAGUCAGACACUAUGCCAGAAUAAAUUCCUUUUUCAUACCGAUGGGUGUGCUUUUUGUCCAAGAACGGGCACGCCUUUGGAAUGGGGACACAU
RNAcentral lists this small nucleolar RNA (134 nucleotides) under Apaloderma vittatum (bar-tailed trogon). RNAcentral's name for it is "Small nucleolar RNA SNORA15". It matches the Rfam family "Small nucleolar RNA SNORA15". From Rfam's summary of the family: ACA15 is a member of the H/ACA class of snoRNA that guide the sites of modification of uridines to pseudouridines. Lineage: Eukaryota; Metazoa; Chordata; Aves; Trogoniformes; Trogonidae. The record is from Rfam by way of RNAcentral.